GACGAACGCUGGCGGCGUGCUUAACACAUGCAAGUCGAGCGGUAAGGUUCCUUCGGGAGUACACGAGCGGCGAACGGGUGAGUAACACGUGAGCAAUCUGCCCUUCACUUCGGGAUAACCCUCGGAAACGAGAGCUAAUACCGAAUACGACCAGUUCAGACAUCUGAUGCUGGUGGAAAGUUCCGGCGGUGAAGGAUGAGCUCGCGGCCUAUCAGCUUGUUGGUGGGGUAACGGCCCACCAAGGCUUCGACGGGUAGCCGGCCUGAGAGGGUGACCGGCCACACUGGGACUGAGACACGGCCCAGACUCCUACGGGAGGCAGCAGUGGGGAAUAUUGGACAAUGGGCGAAAGCCUGAUCCAGCAACGCCGCGUGAGGGAUGACGGCCUUCGGGUUGUAAACCUCUUUCAGCAGGGACGAAGCGCAAGUGACGGUACCUGCAGAAGAAGCACCGGCCAACUACGUGCCAGCCGCCGCAGUAA
Molecule: ribosomal RNA, 481 nt
Filed under: uncultured bacterium
Lineage: Bacteria
Description: partial 16S ribosomal RNA
Rfam family: Bacterial small subunit ribosomal RNA
Source: RNAcentral